RNAcentral lists this long non-coding RNA (229 nucleotides) under Gossypium barbadense (sea-island cotton). RNAcentral describes it as "long non-coding RNA (GBAR_LNC009563)". The record is from RNAcentral. Lineage: Eukaryota; Viridiplantae; Streptophyta; Magnoliopsida; Malvales; Malvaceae.
UUUCAUGCAUAUCUUAACUAUUUACGUACUAUCAAAACACUUACCACGCAUACUUACCGAAUUGGGCCCGUUGGCCCAUGAACCCAAUCUUUGGCCCAUUAAGCCCAAAUUAUCAAAAUGUACGAAAUCGCUCGUACUGCAGUUUAUUACUUUAGAUUACCAAAUAUACAAACCCAACUAUUUUACGAGCAUUCGCACACUCGAAAAUUUCCAAAAUACUGACUUUUCG